This 684-nucleotide long non-coding RNA is filed under the name Homo sapiens (human). RNAcentral's name for it is "HSALNT0039118". Lineage: Eukaryota; Metazoa; Chordata; Mammalia; Primates; Hominidae. The record is from RNAcentral.
UAGAAUGCUGUGGAAAAGUUUCUGAGAAGGGAGAGAAAUGGAGGGAAGUGAGACAUGACUAAGAUGUAGGUAAAAAGGAAUAAAGGUUUUCCCUGCUCAAAACUCUCAUGAAGAAAUUAAUGGAGAAGGAAAGCACAAAGCAUGCUUGAAAGAAAGCAUGUUCCUGGUGUGAGAGCAGUAGCGUUACCCAGAUGCAGGAAGACAAUGACAGAACAAGGCCAUGAAAAGGAUGGCUACACACAGAGCAGCUUUUGUAUAGCUAUACCAUUUAUCUUGGACCUGGCAAUUGAGACUAAAGAAAGGUGUUAUCAGACAAAAGUAGUGCUUUGGGAAGUAGGAAGAAGACACCUUGGGUGCAAAAAAAUGCCAUGAAGAAUUGAAAUGGUUGAAGCUCAUAUUAGAGUACUUGUUUCAGACAUCUGUCUUGCUCUUCAGCCCCUACUUUUACCAAGAGAGAGGAGGAAAAGUCUAGAGAGCAAACAGACUCAAGAAAACAAACCUGAGCUUGGGACAAAAACAAUCUUACAGUAUUGAUAAAGCUCAAGCAUUGAGAAAGAAAAGCAAAAAGAGGCCUAUCUGUAACACAAGAGUUUUGAGGAACUGCUGCUGAGACUGAAAGAGGAAAUCUAAAAAGAGAGAGCAUGGACAAGUGGGGACUGGAGACUGAACAGCAAGAACUGUUUG